CUACGGGGGCAGCAGUGGGGAAUAUUGGACAAUGGGCGAAAGCCUGAUCCAGCCAUGCCGCGUGUGUGAAGAAGGCCUUCGGGUUGUAAAGCACUUUCAGUGGGGAAGAAAGCCUUGGGGCUAAUACCCUCGAGGAAGGACAUCACCCACAGAAGAAGCACCGGCUAACUCCGUGCCAGCAGCCGCGGUAAUACGGAGGGUGCGAGCGUUAAUCGGAAUUACUGGGCGUAAAGCGCGCGUAGGCGGUCUGAUAAGCCGGUUGUGAAAGCCCCGGGCUCAACCUGGGAACGGCAUCCGGAACUGUCAGGCUAGAGUGCAGGAGAGGAAGGUAGAAUUCCCGGUGUAGCGGUGAAAUGCGUAGAGAUCGGGAGGAAUACCAGUGGCGAAGGCGGCCUUCUGGACUGGCACUGACGCUGAGGUGCGAAAGCGUGGGUAGCAAACAGGAUUAGAUACCCCGGUAGUC
This 463-nucleotide ribosomal RNA is filed under the name Vreelandella stevensii. Its description in RNAcentral is "partial 16S ribosomal RNA". It matches the Rfam family "Bacterial small subunit ribosomal RNA", at positions 339 to 795 of the family's 1533-position model. Lineage: Bacteria; Pseudomonadati; Pseudomonadota; Gammaproteobacteria; Oceanospirillales; Halomonadaceae. The record is from RNAcentral.